RNAcentral lists this long non-coding RNA (882 nucleotides) under Hordeum vulgare. RNAcentral's name for it is "long non-coding RNA (HVUL_LNC009005)". The record is from RNAcentral. Lineage: Eukaryota; Viridiplantae; Streptophyta; Magnoliopsida; Poales; Poaceae.
UAAGGAAAAGAGGGUCAUGCUUAAAGCAAGCAUCAUUAUCAUCAGGAAGGACAUAAGUAUUAUAAGGGCUUACCCUUGUACGCGAAUCAUUGGCAGAAGGGCCGACAUCACUAAGUCGCCUGACGAAGGGGGAGAAGUCUGCAAAAGUAAUAUCUCAAAAUGUGAGCGAGCUACAAGUGUGAUCCAAAAGAAAACGAAGGUGGACAUUGAUAAAGGAUACCUCAUUUCGCAGUUUCUUGGUAGGGGUUUUUACUGGUAACCCGGACACCAAAUCUUCUGAGUGACUUCGAGUCUUCCGAAAGGAAGCGUGUUGCGCCUUCUUCAAGAGGAAAUUAGGGUCCAGACAAGCAUUCAGGUGAGACAUGGGAACUUUCCCACAAACUCGCCUGGCCGGCUUAGGCGGAGGAGAAGAUGAGUCGGAAGAAAUAGAAAUUACCUCUACGACGUCAUCUUGGCUUUCGUUAUCAUCAUUCUAUACAUAGAAAUGCAGAGAUAUAAGGACAAAUUAGAGCAAAGGGCGACAAGACAAAGAAGAUAAAGUUUUACCUCUGAAGACGCUUCGUCGACUUGGGAUUCGUCCACAUCAGACGAUUCGGCGAUGGCGGUUUUGUUUUUGCUCUUCGUUUUCUUCUUUGGAGGUGGUCUGGCUUGCUUCAGGGUACUCCUUUUCGGCCUUUUUGACCAGAAUUGGUCACCUUUCUGAGGUGGAAUUUUCAUUAUGCAAGUCAGAAUCCGAGUAAGUCGGGAAGAGUAAACCAAGGGCGAGUUAAAUUAUUUACCUUAGGAGCGGGGUUAAUUUUGCAGAAUGGCUUAAGCCCUAUCUGGCUACACUUGGCCAAGGGCUCGCCAGUUAGCUUCUUGAGGAUGGUCACAAUGUCUUCC